This is a long non-coding RNA of Hyaena hyaena (striped hyena), 742 nucleotides long. RefSeq lists it as uncharacterized. NCBI's taxonomy places the organism in Eukaryota, Metazoa, Chordata, Mammalia, Carnivora, Hyaenidae. The record is from RefSeq and is a predicted model, not a curated record. The transcript is spliced from 4 exons.
AAAGGCUCGGGGGCGGGGCUAGGGUGGCCUUCCUGGCUCGUCGGCCGGAGGAUCCAGUGCUGGGAGUGCGCGACGACCCCCAACAGCCCGAGCUUCGUUCUGUGGGUUUCCCCAAGAGCUUUCCGCCAUUGGCCAGGCUUUGAAAGCGCUGUGGGAACGGCAGAGCAUUAAUAUGAACUUAAAGUAAUAUCACACUCGCUUGACUGAUAUAUUAAGUGGAAACUGAGCACAGCGUGUUUGUGGUGAAAAAAAAGGACUUUGGAAACAUCAAAAUUUUAAUAAGCAUCGCAUUUCCUGAGCCCUCACUAAGUGCUAGGGACUGAGGUGACCAAGCAGUCCUUCUCAACUCUAGAAGAAUCACAGAAUUUGAGAGCUGGAAUUAAUAUAUAUUUUUAAGAUAUGUCAUCUAGGAGCCCAGUUUAUCAUGGAUGCAAAACAAAUUCAGAACAGAUGGACUUUCGAGUGAAAAUCACAGUUUGACAGCUGAGCACUUCUAGAAAGUUAAGCAAAAGUGGAUCCAUUUAUCAAUGGAAGGAAGAUGGACAUGCCUUGGAUUGAAGACUAGAAAGCGAUGUCCGUAUCAGGAGGAAGGAAGGAACUGCCUCCAGAAUUGUAUGUUUAGGUCCAUCCUGGUUCCAGGUCCCCUGACCCAGUUCCGUGGCCCAGGCCCCUUACACACCAAGAAGACGUUGGACACGAUGGAACUAAGUAGUUUACUGGGACAGAGGUGAGGUCACAGAGG